Haemorhous mexicanus (house finch) is the source of this 1069-nucleotide long non-coding RNA. RefSeq lists it as uncharacterized. NCBI's taxonomy places the organism in Eukaryota, Metazoa, Chordata, Aves, Passeriformes, Fringillidae. The transcript has 2 exons. The record is from RefSeq and is a predicted model, not a curated record.
CUUAAGGUGGGCGCGACCGGCCCUCUCGGCGCGUACCGCGGAGGCGAGGCUUAGCUUUAGGGACACGCCCAGUAGGAGCGACGAGUCCCGCCGGCAAGCACGGAGGGGCCGGGGCCCCACGGGCUUCUUGGGAACAGGGAGUCAGGAGAUGUGAAAAAUACCUUCCCACCACUUAAUCCAGGCUAUUUGGCUGCAUCUGCUGCUGAAUCCAUGAGUGUGGAAAGCAAGUGCUCCUCUUCUGCCUGGCUACAUCCUGGAGCUCCUCUGGGAAUAAGCUCCUUGUCCAGGCUUUGUGAGCAUAUCCCAGAAUAUGUUGCUGCUCUUCUUACCUCCUGCUCCCUCCAGAUGAGAAUAGCUCCCAAAUAAAACAAGUCUCAGAUUUUGCAGUGCUUGGGCCAUAAAAACAACCGUUUUCCUCAAACCAACAACUUACUUCAGUGACAGAGACCCCAAAACCUCACUGCAUCCAUUGGGGUCACUCCCAGUGGUGAUGGCUUCAGAUGUCCCUCUCCAGGAGGAGAUGCUGAUGCCACCAGCCCAGAUGCCCAUAGGAGGAAAACAAAGGUGUCCAGAGACAGCCCUGAACCCCAAGUGAUAGCGGUGUAGGUGGGGUCACCUUGUCCCACAGCCUGCACAUGGAACACUCCAAAACAGAGUCACCGGGAAGAUGGCAACAAACUCCGUGAGCCACACUGGAAUCCAAUGGCAUCACCAUGAUGCUCUUCUUGACAGAGACCUUGCUCUGUCAUUGCUGCCUCCAGGUCUGCUCUCUCUCCUGAGGCCAGGAGGAUGAUGACUUCAGAUCAAUAACACCACCAGCCCCUCCAGCACUCAGCAACGCCCGAUAAAGGAGUGUUAUGGAGCUCUUCCAGCACAGGUGGGGUUUCCUGGGAAAAAAAACACCUAGGCCAGGAAACUGAGGUGUGGUGGUGUGAGGUUCAGAGGUCUCUGACCACAAUGAGACAUGCAAGGCUGGAAGCCGACACCCAACUUCUAGCAUGCCUUUGCCUUGAGAGCUGUAUUGCUGCUAUCCCAGCAGUAAAACCAAAAUAAAGUUGUAGGAUGCCUA